GCAUGUUUUAUUGAAAUAUUUACAGUUGUGUCCCAGCUCCUCUUACCCACGCUGACUACAAAAGGCUUGUGCAUCACCAUUAAACACCUCUUUCCCAGACCUACUCCCACUCCCCUCCCUGUCAAGGAUGCAACCGAUUUUAAGGUCUUUGUGGUCCAACAGUGGCAUGGCUGAGUGCAGAGGUACUGAGCGAGACCAGCUGAGCCAGCAGCUCCCUCAGAGUCCAGGUCCCUCAUGCUAAAACUAAAAGGUUUCAGAGCAGUGCCCCACGUGCCAGCUGCCUCACUGAGCAGCCCAGCAGAGCACCUGGGAAUCCUCCACGCAGCACGAGAGCCCCUUAGGUUUUGAUAGCUGUGUCUCGUGACUUGUAAGCCACACCACGGCUCUUCAGCUCUCGGACGAUCCCUUGGGGCAGACGGCCGGUCACGGACACUGCAUACACACCCGGCUUGAAGUUACUGAUGCGCUGCCACUUGGAGACCCAGCUGUCCUCGGGGCUCAUCAUGGCGAUGAUCCCAUCGAAGGAGGAGCUGGUGCAGUCGUAAACCAUCUCGCGGUUGCCCUUCAUCUGCAGGUAGGCAUCGCAGUUGUCGCAGCCGUCGUACUCGAACUGCUCGAGGGUCUUGACGAGGGAGCAGAGCAGGCAGGCCCGGAGGUGCCGCAGGUCUUUCGGGACGGUCUCCAGCGCCAUUGCUGCGGCCGCCGCGCA
RNAcentral lists this long non-coding RNA (709 nucleotides) under Gallus gallus (chicken). The record is from RNAcentral. Lineage: Eukaryota; Metazoa; Chordata; Aves; Galliformes; Phasianidae.